UAAUACUCCAUUGUUCUUGAUUUGUUUUUUUUUGGUUUAAGGUUUGAUCGCUCAUUAACAUCUAAAGCAUACUUUGGUUAGUUUCAAUAUUUGGGUAACGCGACAAAAGUAUGGAACACCAUACAACUUUCAACAUUUAGAACCGAAUGAAAAACAAAUCAAGAACAAUGGAGUAUUAAAAAUUUUGUUCCUUGAUUCUAAAGGGGAAAAAAAAAAUUAUAUACUCGUGAGAAAACAAGAGAAUUUGAAUCCACUGUAAUGUGGGAAACUAAUCCCAGGCGCUUGCCACACCCGGACCAUAUCCCCCUCCGUAACCGCCAGGAACCCCAUAUCCACCACUGCUAUUCCCUCCACCAUAAUAGUCCAUGCCUCUAUUAAAAGAGCCCUCCCUUCUAAAGUCACGGCCACCAAAUCGGCCACCCCCA
This 425-nucleotide unclassified non-coding RNA is filed under the name Hevea brasiliensis (rubber tree). The record is from RNAcentral. Lineage: Eukaryota; Viridiplantae; Streptophyta; Magnoliopsida; Malpighiales; Euphorbiaceae.